GUCUAUACUGUGUCAUCUCAACGGAAAUACGCGGUGCCCUGUUUAAAGUGAAUGUGGUUGUCUCUAAUGCUUAACCCAUAAACGAUAGUGGUAUUUCGAUAAGAGACAUCAUAGCAUGCACCAUACCAAAUAGUGUGUGGCUAUGACGUUCAGACACAUCAUCACACUAUGAUGUUCCAGGUGGCAUGAACUACGAAACAAUUUCCACAUUGUCUUAACUGCGUACCAAUACUCGUAACUCAGAUAUUCAUUUCUAUGAUCAUAUCGUAGACAGUUUAUCCUCUUGUUACGAC
This 293-nucleotide long non-coding RNA is filed under the name Hordeum vulgare. RNAcentral describes it as "long non-coding RNA (HVUL_LNC003711)". Lineage: Eukaryota; Viridiplantae; Streptophyta; Magnoliopsida; Poales; Poaceae. The record is from RNAcentral.